AAAGGGUUCAGUCGGCACGUUCUAAAUGCUAAGAAGGAUGGCUAUUCCAGGAAAAGGAGUUGGUGGCAGAAGUUUUUCUUUGACGAUGAUGGAAAUUGGCUUGGUUUGAAGGAUGAUGGGAUGUUGGAGGAUGAGUUGGAGAGUGUUGCUAGUGAUGAAGAUUUGUCUGAUGAUGAGAAAUUCGAGGCGUGGAAGAAGAGGGCUG
Molecule: unclassified non-coding RNA, 205 nt
Filed under: Hevea brasiliensis (rubber tree)
Lineage: Eukaryota; Viridiplantae; Streptophyta; Magnoliopsida; Malpighiales; Euphorbiaceae
Source: RNAcentral